AUCGUUUAUAACUCGCACAUGCAC
RNAcentral lists this non-coding RNA (24 nucleotides) under Arabidopsis thaliana (thale cress). The record is from RNAcentral. Lineage: Eukaryota; Viridiplantae; Streptophyta; Magnoliopsida; Brassicales; Brassicaceae.